GAUGAAGAACGCAGCGAAAUGCGAUAAGUAAUGUGAAUUGCAGAAUUCAGUGAAUCAUCGAAUCUUUGAACGCACCUUGCGCCCUUUGGCUAUUCUGAAGGGCAUGCCUGUUUGAGUAUCGUGAACACCUCAACUCUCAUGGUCUGCCAUGAUGAGCUUGGACUUUGGGGGUCUUGCUGGCCUACUGUCAGCUCCUCUCAAAUGAAUCAGCUUACCAGUGUUUGGUGGCAUCACAGGUGUGAUAACUAUCUACGCUUGUGGUUUUCUGCCAGGUAACCUCCAGUGAUGGAGGUUCGCUGGAGCUCACAAAUGUCUCUCCUCAGCGAGGACAGCUUUUUGAACGUUUGAUCUCAAAUCAGGUAGGACUACCCGCUGAACUUAAGCAUAUCAAUAAGCGGAGGA
RNAcentral lists this unclassified non-coding RNA (402 nucleotides) under soil metagenome. Its description in RNAcentral is "partial contains 5.8S ribosomal RNA, internal transcribed spacer 2, and large subunit ribosomal RNA". The stretch from base 1 to 121 matches the Rfam family "5.8S ribosomal RNA", at positions 35 to 154 of the family's 154-position model. The record is from RNAcentral.